GAGAAGGAAACAAGACCUGCUAAAUCUUCCACCCGAUACUAACACACCGGCCUUCUCU
This 58-nucleotide transfer RNA is filed under the name Python regius (ball python). Its description in RNAcentral is "tRNA-Ser specifying AGY codons". Lineage: Eukaryota; Metazoa; Chordata; Lepidosauria; Squamata; Pythonidae. RNAcentral also lists the same sequence under 1 other name. The record is from RNAcentral.